GGCGGACGGGUGAGUAACACGUGAGCAACCUGCCUAUCAGAGGGGGAUAACGAUUGGAAACGAUCGCUAAUACCGCAUGACAUAGCGGAACCGCAUGGUUCUGUUAUCAAAGAUUUUAUCGCUGAUAGAUGGGCUCGCGUCCGAUUAGAUAGUUGGUGGGGUAACGGCCUACCAAGUCGACGAUCGGUAGCCGGACUGAGAGGUCGAACGGCCACAUUGGGACUGAGACACGGCCCAGACUCCUACGGGAGGCAGCAGUGGGGGAUAUUGCACAAUGGGGGAAACCCUGAUGCAGCGACGCCGCGUGAGGGAAGACGGUCCUCUGGAUUGUAAACCUCUGUCUUCGGGGACGAAACGAGACGGUACCCGAGGAGGAAGCCACGGCUAACUACGUGCCAGCAGCCGCGGUAAUACGUAGGUGGCAAGCGUUGUCCGGAAUCACUGGGUGUAAAGGGAGCGUAGGCGGGCAGGCAAGUCAGGCGUGAAAUAUAUCGGCUCAACCGGUAACGGCGCUUGAAACUGCAGGUCUUGAGUGAAGUAGAGGUUGGCGGAAUUCCUAGUGUAGCGGUGAAAUGCGUAGAUAUUAGGAGGAACACCAGUGGCGAAGGCGGCCAACUGGGCUUUUACUGACGCUGAGGCUCGAAAGUGUGGGGAGCAAA
This 659-nucleotide ribosomal RNA is filed under the name uncultured bacterium. RNAcentral's name for it is "bacterial SSU rRNA". It matches the Rfam family "Bacterial small subunit ribosomal RNA", at positions 97 to 772 of the family's 1533-position model. The record is from RNAcentral.